Molecule: ribosomal RNA, 250 nt
Filed under: uncultured bacterium
Lineage: Bacteria
Description: partial 16S ribosomal RNA
Rfam family: Bacterial small subunit ribosomal RNA
Source: RNAcentral
UACGAAGGGAGCUAGCGUUACUCGGAAUCACUGGGCGUAAAGCGUGCGCAGGCGGUUUGGUAAGUUAGAAGUGAAAGCCCAGGGCCUAACCCUGGAAUUGCUUUUAAUACUGCCAGACUAGAGUAUUGGAGGGGAUAGUGGAAUUUCUAGUGUAGAGGUGGAAUUCGUAGAUACUAGAAGGAACACCGGUGGCGAAGGCGACUAUCUGGCCAAAUACUGACGCUGUUGCACGAAGGCGUGGGGAGCAAAC